UAUACGGGAGGCAGCAGUAGGGAAUCUUCGGCAAUGGACGAAAGUCUGACCGAGCAACGCCGCGUGAGUGAAGAAGGUUUUCGGAUCGUAAAACUCUGUUGUUAGAGAAGAACAAGGAUGAGAGUAACUGUUCAUCCCUUGACGGUAUCUAACCAGAAAGCCACGGCUAACUACGUGCCAGCAGCCGCGGUAAUACGUAGGUGGCAAGCGUUGUCCGGAUUUAUUGGGCGUAAAGCGAGCGCAGGCGGUUUCUUAAGUCUGAUGUGAAAGCCCCCGGCUCAACCGGGGAGGGUCAUUGGAAACUGGGAGACUUGAGUGCAGAAGAGGAGAGUGGAAUUCCAUGUGUAGCGGUGAAAUGCGUAGAUAUAUGGAGGAACACCAGUGGCGAAGGCGGCUCUCUGGUCUGUAACUGACGCUGAGGCUCGAAAGCGUGGGGAGCAAACAGGAUUAGAUACCCUGGUAGUCCACGCCGUAAACGAUGAGUGCUAAGUGUUGGAGGGUUUCCGCCCUUCAGUGCUGCAGCUAACGCAUUAAGCACUCCG
Molecule: ribosomal RNA, 542 nt
Filed under: Enterococcus faecium
Lineage: Bacteria; Bacillati; Bacillota; Bacilli; Lactobacillales; Enterococcaceae
Description: bacterial SSU rRNA
Rfam family: Bacterial small subunit ribosomal RNA
Source: RNAcentral